This 468-nucleotide ribosomal RNA is filed under the name uncultured bacterium. RNAcentral's name for it is "partial 16S ribosomal RNA". It matches the Rfam family "Bacterial small subunit ribosomal RNA", at positions 28 to 507 of the family's 1533-position model. The record is from RNAcentral.
GACGAACGCUGGCGGCGUGCUUAACACAUGCAAGUCGAACGGAAAGGCCCUGCUUUUGUGGCGUUCUCGAGUGGCGAACGGGUGAGUAACACGUGAGUAACCUGCCCUUGACUUUGGGAUAACUUCACGAAACUGGGGCUAAUACCCGAUAUGAGCUCCUGCUGCAUGGUGGUGGUUGGAAAGUUUCGGCGGUUGGGGAUGGACUCGCGGCUUAUCAGCUUGUUUGUGGAGUAGUGGCUUACCAAGUCUUUGACGGGUAGCCGGCCUGAGAGGGUGACCGGCCACAUUGGGACUGAGAUACGGCCCAGAAUCCUACGGGAGGCAGCAGUGGGGAAUAUUGCACAAUGGGCGGGAGCCUGAUGCAGCAACGCCGCGUGCGGGAUGACGGCCUUCGGGUUGUAAACCGCUUUCGCCUGUGACGAAGCGUGAGUGACGGUAAUGGGUAAAGAAGCACCGGCUAACUACGUG